Molecule: long non-coding RNA, 172 nt
Organism: Ceratosolen solmsi marchali
Lineage: Eukaryota; Metazoa; Arthropoda; Insecta; Hymenoptera; Agaonidae
Exons: 3
Source: RefSeq, a predicted model, not a curated record
CUGGCUUAUCCACAGAACGCUAGACCCCAUCGUCGCACAGUGUCGUUCUCAGCCCGAAAGCCCUCGGGGAUCGGUUGGACCUAAGCUUUGAGGAAAGUGUCGGCGACAAUAAACAUGAGGUUAAGUUUGUUGUUGAUGACAGCUGUGCUGGCUAUCUCCCGCACAACAUUGG